RNAcentral lists this long non-coding RNA (1258 nucleotides) under Homo sapiens (human). RNAcentral describes it as "novel transcript". The record is from RNAcentral. Lineage: Eukaryota; Metazoa; Chordata; Mammalia; Primates; Hominidae.
GGCGACUUGGCGGCGGGUGCCAUGCGUCUGGAGCUUCACAUUCUCUGCCCCCCACCCACCGCGCCGGCGCUCCCUUGUCACGCCUCGGGAAGCGCGCACCUGCCAAGCAGGCUCAUCUUUUUUCCUGUUUUUUCAACCUGGGUCAGUAUGAUGCAGGACUAGAGAGAAAUGAGAAGAGAAAAAUGAGGGUCAGUCUAUGAGCCAAGAGACAAAGUCAUGGGAAGACAGCUGAGGCUAAUUCCAGAAGGUCCUCCUAGGAGAAGCCAAAGCAGGGGACACACCUCAAAAUAGAGCCAUGCAUAGAACCACUCAUAGCCAGACUGCAAGGCAGGAACAUGAGGAUGGUCACUAGGAGGCCAACAAAUUCUGCUAAAGGGGAUUCUUUUUAUAAAAUACACUCUUUCAGGACAUUGUCAGAUCCUCUGCAUAUAGUCCUCAAAAUACGUCCUUGAUCCAGCUUGUUUUAAGUGUUUAUGCAAAAUAAUGGUAUGUUUGAAAGUGUUAGAUAUUAAUUUUUUAUUUCUGUUUUGAAGGCAUUCAAGUAUCACGGACUAUCAGCACCUUCGUUUCUUUUUUUUUUUUUUUUAAGCCAAAGCUACUGGAUCAAAAGUAAUAUACUGCUUUGUUUGUAUGUGAUGUUUGGGGAGAAGAAAAGUCGAAAUUCACAUAACUGAAAUUUUAAUCAAUCCUAACACUCUUUUUUUAUGAUGAGCCAUAUGUAUGAUCCAUAAACAGCUUCUAAACCUAUCCAUGUAAUCACAGCUCAGGUUAGAAAGGUUGCCUGUGUAGAGCAGGGUCAUAGGAUGAGCUCCCUCGAGGGGGCAGGAGGCUGCUGGAGGAGUGAACAUCAAGAAGCCUACAGGGAAGCAGUACACCAGCUGGAAAAACAUGACACCAGAUGCAAUAAUAAUCAUGAAGAGAUGUAGGCCCCACAACAGCCAAGGAUUUUGUAAAAAGGAAAGGAAGAUACUUGGGUGAAUGAGCCACUUUAUAUGCCAGUUCUGGGUGACACUUAAACACCAGCGUCAGGAAAAUCAAUCCUCAGUAGUUAGCUACCCACUGACCUACCCUUUUGCACCUAAGCUACAAGUACAUUUGUAGUCAUGAGAAGCACAAUCCCAAGUUCUAACCAUGCUCUUCAAAAGACCACUCAUCAUUGAGGGAGUUUGUUUAUUAAAACCAAUCUGUGGAACUUCCAGCUCCCUGGUGGAUCUUAAAAUUUCAGGAAAAAAAGUUAUAUUUACCUUCAAACCCAAAA